This 1203-nucleotide long non-coding RNA is filed under the name Marmota monax (woodchuck). Lineage: Eukaryota; Metazoa; Chordata; Mammalia; Rodentia; Sciuridae. The record is from RNAcentral.
CAAACCCUAACAGAAAUAGAAGAAAAUUCCCAUAAGUUGAGAAAAUUGAUCCAAUAGAAAACUAUAAUCAACAUCACUUUCUGAAGCACAGCAAACUUUCCUUACCAACUCAGAUAACAGAGCUGAGGACCUCUCACUAGCUCUAUCUACCUGUAAACUGCAGUACACCUCCAAAAGGAACAGACUAACUGCUCCCAUUUCAUCAUUCCCUUAGGAAAAACAGAGAGCUUAGGUAGAAAAAUUUAGAAGGGGGGCACCACAAGCUCAAUAUACAAAACCUAACAACUUCUCUAACAGUAUAAAUAAAUAUUAGAUAAGAAUUAAAAUUGCAUGGAAUCUCUGUGUACAUAUUGUGCAUAUCUUUCAUUGAAUUUAAUCCUAGAUUUUGUAACUUUUUAUAGUUCUACUAUCAUAUUUUUGUAACACAUUUAACAUAUUUUAUUUUUACAAAUAUGCACAAAUCUUCAAAGUGCAGCUCACUAAAUUAUCAAAACUAGAUACCUGGGUAACACAAUGAUUUAGAUUAAAUGCAACAGAAGAUAUGUGAAAACACAACCCCAUAUCAAACUGAAAGACUAAAUAGUUCUACAGAUAAAAUAAAAUUCUACAGAUAAAAUAAAAUUUGUAUUUAAAAGGCUUAAAAGAUUAUAUUAUGCAUUAGGUUGUAUAUAAUUUGAUAAUAUGAUUCUAAAAUUUGUAAAAAUAAAUGUAAAGAGCUAAAAAUAAAAAAAGAGACUUCUGAAAAAGAAUAAAAGAACUUACUUUUCCAUACAUCAAGAAUUACCUUAAAGCUAGAAUCAUAACAGUGUGGCACUGGUGCAAUGAAGAGACAAAGACCAAUGAAACAGAAUCGAGGGAUCGGAAGAGGCCCUGCAAACACAGUUGCUCCAAGCCCCAGGGAGCAAUGAGGAAAAGACAGUAACUUGCAUAAGUGUUAUGGGAAAAUAGGAUAAACAUGUGUGAAAAUAAAACAAAAUCAGACCCCUACAUUACACUAUUCACAAAAAAUAAAUUAGUGUCCAGGGAGAUCACGAACUAAUAUAAAAAGGAAAAGAGUAGAGCUUAUUAAAGUGUGCAUCUCACACUAUCAGUGCUAAAGUCAUUUUCUUUAAAAUACCUAAACUUUCUAGGAUCCAUGCCUGGUCCUAGUGCACAGGACUGGUACACAGCUAGGUAACCUUCGACUCUCCACUUGAGUUUGAC